RNAcentral lists this transfer RNA (60 nucleotides) under Alectorobius mimon. Its description in RNAcentral is "tRNA-Phe". Lineage: Eukaryota; Metazoa; Arthropoda; Arachnida; Ixodida; Argasidae. The record is from RNAcentral.
ACCCUUAUAGUUUAAGUAAAAUAUGAUAGUGAAAAUAUCAAGAUAUAGGAAUUAUGGGUA